AACGAACGCUGGCGGCAUGCCUAACACAUGCAAGUCGAACGAGACCUUCGGGUCUAGUGGCGCACGGGUGCGUAACGCGUGGGAACCUGCCCUUAGGUUCGGAAUAACUCCCCGAAAGGGGUGCUAAUACCGGAUAAUGUCUUCGGACCAAAGAUUUAUCGCCUUUGGAUGGGCCCGCGUUGGAUUAGCUAGUUGGUAGGGUAAAAGCCUACCAAGGCGACGAUCCAUAGCUGGUCUGAGAGGAUGAUCAGCCACACUGGGACUGAGACACAGCUCAGACUCCUACGGGAGGCAGCAGUGGGGAAUAUUGGACAAUGGGCGAAAGCCUGAUCCAGCAAUGCCGCGUGAGUGAUGAAGGCCUUAGGGUUGUAAAGCUCUUUUACCCGGGAUGAUAAUGACAGUACCGGGAGAAUAAGCUCCGGCUAACUCCGUG
Molecule: ribosomal RNA, 433 nt
Filed under: uncultured bacterium
Lineage: Bacteria
Description: partial 16S ribosomal RNA
Rfam family: Bacterial small subunit ribosomal RNA
Source: RNAcentral